RNAcentral lists this unclassified non-coding RNA (200 nucleotides) under Bolbitius sp. Its description in RNAcentral is "partial internal transcribed spacer 2". Lineage: Eukaryota; Fungi; Basidiomycota; Agaricomycetes; Agaricales; Bolbitiaceae. The record is from RNAcentral.
UUAAGUUCAGCGGGUAGUCCUACCUGAUUUGAGGUCAAGUUGUCAUAGAUUGUCUGCAAAGAGACGAUUAGAAGCAGAGUUCCUUCAUUUCAAAGGCUGACCUUGGUCACAGUGUAGAUAAUUAUCACACUAGCGGCUAGUCAACAGAAGCGCUCUAGCUAAUACAUUUAAGGAAAGCCAAGUCUUAAGUAAUAAGCGCC